CUAGGAAUUUUGCGCAAUGGGGGCAACCCUGACGCAGCGACACAGCGUGGAGGAGGAAGGUCUUCGGAUUGUAAACUCCUUUUAUAUGGGAAGAAUAGAUGACUGUACCAUAUGAAUAAGCACCUGCUAACUACGUGCCAGAAGCAUCGGUGAUGCGUAGGGUGCGAACGUUAUCCGGAUUUAUUGGGCGUAAAGAGAUGCGUAGGCGUUUCAGUUAGUCUUUCGUUAAAAGUCACGGCUUAACCGUGAAGAUGCGUUGGAUACUGCUGAAAUUGAGACAUGAAGGGGUGAACGGAACUCCAAGUGGAGCGGUGAAAUGCGUUGAUAUUUGGAAGAACAUCAGAGGCGAAGGCGGUUCACUGGUCAUUGUCUGACGCUAAGGCUCGAAAGCGUGGGUAGCAAAACGG
RNAcentral lists this ribosomal RNA (407 nucleotides) under uncultured bacterium. Its description in RNAcentral is "bacterial SSU rRNA". It matches the Rfam family "Bacterial small subunit ribosomal RNA", at positions 355 to 776 of the family's 1533-position model. The record is from RNAcentral.